CCGUGGGACUGCCUCUGAAACCGUAUGACUUGAGGGCAGGAGAGGGGAGUGGAAUUCCCGGUGUAGCGGUGAUAUGCGUAGAUAUCGGGAGGAACACCAGUGGCGAAGGCGGCUCCCUGGCCUGUUUCUGACGCUGAGGCGCGAAAGCGUGGGUAGCGAACGGGAUUAGAUACCCCGGUAGUCCACGCCGUAAACGAUGGGUGCUAGGUGUAGGAGGUAUCGACCCCUUCUGUGCCGUAGCUAACACAAUAAGCACC
Molecule: ribosomal RNA, 257 nt
Filed under: uncultured bacterium
Lineage: Bacteria
Description: partial 16S ribosomal RNA
Rfam family: Bacterial small subunit ribosomal RNA
Source: RNAcentral